AUCAGUAAUUAUUAAUAUGAACUACUUUUGUUUGUUUUUUUGGAUAACUUACUAUGAACUUUCUUUGUUAACUUGCGUCUCACUCCUCCUAUUUUCCAAUCGACAUGGUGGUGCAAAUCGAGCAGAGGAAUUUCCACCACCAUCAUCAAAAUUUAGUUGAUAGUUUUCUAAGUCAUACUGAAAUUGAUUUCCAACUUUCUUGUUGGAGACAAAUGAUGUCUUCAAACCCUCCUUAAUUUUGGAGAAGAACCACUUUCCCUGCUUAUUUGAUUUAUUUCCUUGCUUGGUUUCUUCCUUUGAUUUUGAUAAACUUUCAGCCAUGUCAAACUUACGAGUGUGGUUAUCAUGCAUAAAGAAUCCUUAUGCACCCUGCAUAAAUCCCAGCCCAUUAACCAUUUUGUAGUGGAAAUGGUUUCUGUGAGUUGUACUCCAAACCCAUUUUGCUGUGGAAAUGGUUUCUGUGAGUUGUACUCCAAAACCAUUAGAUGUACUUAAUGGUUUUCUUUGAU
This 509-nucleotide long non-coding RNA is filed under the name Medicago truncatula (barrel medic). RNAcentral describes it as "lncRNA gene364". Lineage: Eukaryota; Viridiplantae; Streptophyta; Magnoliopsida; Fabales; Fabaceae. The record is from RNAcentral.